RNAcentral lists this ribosomal RNA (561 nucleotides) under uncultured Glomus. Its description in RNAcentral is "SSU rRNA". It matches the Rfam family "Eukaryotic small subunit ribosomal RNA", at positions 548 to 1103 of the family's 1831-position model. Lineage: Eukaryota; Fungi; Glomeromycota; Glomeromycetes; Glomerales; Glomeraceae. The record is from RNAcentral.
UUGGAGGGCAAGUCUGGUGCCAGCAGCCGCGGUAAUUCCAGCUCCAAUAGCGUAUAUUGAAGUUGUUGCAGUUAAAAAGCUCGUAGUUGAAUUUCGGGAUUGACGUGAUGGUCAUGCCUUAAGGGGUAUGAACUGUUACUGUUGACUUCUCACCUUCUGGAGAAACUUGAUGUCCUUCAUUGGGUGUCUUGAGGAUCCAGGACCUUUACCUUGAAAAAAUUAGAGUGUUUAAAGCAGGCAUUUUUGCUCGAAUACAUUAGCAUGGAAUAAUAGAAUAGGACGGCAUGGUUCUAUUUUGUUGGUUUCUAGGAUCACCGUAAUGAUUAAUAGGGAUAGUUGGGGGCAUUAGUAUUCAAUUGUCAGAGGUGAAAUUCUUGGAUUUAUUGAAGACUAACUACUGCGAAAGCAUUUGCCAAGGAUGUUUUCAUUAAUCAAGAACGAAAGUUAGGGGAUCGAAGACGAUCAGAUACCGUCGUAGUCUUAACCAUAAACUAUGCCGACUAGGAAUCAGACGAUGUUAAUUUUUUAAUGACUCGUUUGGCACCUUACGGGAAACCAAAG